ACAAUUACCUUAAACUCCAAACGAUCAAAGAAAACCGAAGAACAUUAUUUUUAUCUUUGAAAAGUAUAUUUAAAUAUUUUUAAAACACUUACACAUUUUUCCUGAUGUUAUCAGUCACAUAAAAAUUGUAUAAACAUUUUUUUGGAGGCACUCCGCUGACACAAUUUCCUCGACAAUCAUCAGAAGACUCGAGGCCUGUCAAGAAAGAAACAGGGAAUUGUUGUUGACGUGAUAGCUGGAUGAGAGGCAAAAGUCGAAUGAAAGGUGGUAGUAUACUGGGGGCCCAUCGUCUUUACGUAAAGAAUUCACAGUGUAGGUGAAUCGUCUUGCUAUCACUGGUAAAUAAAACCGGUCACGGACGCUGGACCACAUCAAUCCCCCAUACCUUUACCGUUAAUUCGAUGUCAUGAUUCCAGCUAGAUUGGCUUUGUAACACUGGAGACUGCACAGGGAGAUACCCGUCUUGGAGCAGGAGUACUUUUUGGGGUUUCUGCAUUGUUGAACUGCACAUAAAGGGACUUCGGGCGU
Molecule: long non-coding RNA, 528 nt
Organism: Diachasmimorpha longicaudata
Lineage: Eukaryota; Metazoa; Arthropoda; Insecta; Hymenoptera; Braconidae
Exons: 3
Source: RefSeq, a predicted model, not a curated record